CAUAACAAAUCCUGAAUACAGUAGUAAGGACGCAAACCCAGCAAUGACCACAGAACAUCCGGGGGGAGGGGGGUAUAUUGGGGCAGUGACGUUAGAGAGUCGGAAGCAGCUAAUAGAUGGCGACAGUAUCAGUAAAAAACCUUGUUAUCAUUUUGUGCAAAGGAGUGGGCAAUCUAUAGAUGUCUUCAUCUAUGAUUUAGAAUAGCAUUGGCUUUUAAUCUAGUGGUUUUUUCGUGUUUCCUUAGUAAAUUGGGAAUUUGCUUCUUUAUUUACACAGAGUGAAUAUUAUCUCGAACCAUUUUGUGAAUUUCUGCAGUUUAACAAGAAUGGCUACGAAUCAUGUUAUUCUUAUCUCCUCUAUUUGUGAGUUUUUGGAAAACGACAAUAGAAUAAUUAAAAGGGGUGAAAAUGCGCUGCACUCAAAUCAUAUUAAAAAAAUGCAAUAUGAUUCAACACUGGGUAUCAUUAGAGGAGAAGUCCUAGCGAGUAUGAAGGACAAAGUGUACAAUGUAGAGAUCAAUCUUGAUACUGAUAAAAUAUCAAGCGCCACUCGUACCUGCCCUAAGGGACUGCGAUGCCAUCAUAUCAGUGCACUGGCAUUAUAACAUUUCAAUCACAGAUAAGGAAUGUCUGUGGAAUAAACCAACGACCAAAGAAGAAACGGAGUUGGUUACUAAGGAAGGAUGAGCCCAUCAGUAGAGACCGUUUUGACGUGGACAUCCCAUUAAUUGAAGACAUUAUUACUUCUGAAGACUUCCUUAAAUCUUCAAAUAAAACAGAAUUUGUGAAACAGAAAUGUGUCAUUGAUACUGAUAAGAUUGAGGCUAUAGCUAAAAUUACUACAGGCCAAACUGACAACGAAAAAUGGUUCUUAAUCAGAAAAUUCAGGCUUACAGCUAGCCACUUUGCAAAAGUUUUAGGGUGCUGUAGCAGAAAUAGGUUUCCAGAGAGCUUGUUUAAAUCUCUUAUUAUGAGUGCUUAUUCAUUGGACGGGAUAAAAUCUAUCCAAUGGGGGAAGACUCAUGAAAUUAUUUGAAAAAUAAUUUAAACAAAUGCUGUGCCAACAGGAAUUUGGAUAUCUAAAUCAGGACUCCUUGGAGCUAGCCCUGACGGAUUAUUUGAAGAUGAUGGAAUUAUUGAAGUCAAAUGCCUCUGUUCCUUUAAGAAGUCCAAACUCUCGGAUUGUUUAAAGGAUAAGAAUUACAUAAUACACUAUAAUAAAAAUAAGGAAGUACUUGUGAAUACUAAUCACAAUUAUUACCAUCAAAUUCAAGAAAAUUUACAUAUAUCAAAUAGAAACGUGUUACUUAUGUAUUUAGACUCCGCUGGAAGUUGAAACUGUAUUGAUUAAUUUUGACGAGAUCUGGGCCAAAAAUUUAGACAUUUUAGAACUUUUUUAUACAAAUAUUUAUUUGCCGAGACUACUCGGUUGUAAUAUAUAAAUAACUAAAA
Dendroctonus ponderosae (mountain pine beetle) is the source of this 1452-nucleotide long non-coding RNA. RefSeq lists it as uncharacterized. Lineage: Eukaryota; Metazoa; Arthropoda; Insecta; Coleoptera; Curculionidae. The transcript is spliced from 5 exons. The record is from RefSeq and is a predicted model, not a curated record.